This 440-nucleotide ribosomal RNA is filed under the name uncultured bacterium. Its description in RNAcentral is "partial 16S ribosomal RNA". It matches the Rfam family "Bacterial small subunit ribosomal RNA", at positions 338 to 795 of the family's 1533-position model. The record is from RNAcentral.
CCUACGGGUGGCAGCAGUGGGGGAUAUUGCACAAUGGGGGAAACCCUGAUGCAGCGACGCCGCGUGUGGGAAGACGGUCUUCUGGAUUGUAAACCACUGUCCCCAGGGACGAAAAUGACGGUACCUGGGGAGGAAGCUCCGGCUAACUACGUGCCAGCAGCCGCGGUAAUACGUAGGGAGCAAGCGUUGUCCGUAAUUACUGGGGGUAAAGGGAGCGUAGGCGGGGAUGCAAGUUGGGUGUCAAAACUACCGGCUCAACCGAUAGUCGCACUCAAAACUGCAACUCUUGAGUGAAGUAGAGGCAGGCGGAAUUCCUAGUGUAGCAGUGAAAUGCGUAGAUAUUAGGAGGAACACCAGUGGCGAAGGCGGCCUGCUGGGCUUUUACUGACGCUGAGGCUCGAAAGUGUGGGGAGCAAACAGGAUUAGAUACCCCUGUACUC